UGGGGAAUAUUGCACAAUGGGCGCAAGCCUGAUGCAGCGACGCCGCGUGGGGGAUGACGGCCUUCGGGUUGUAAACUCCUUUCGCCAGGGACGAAGCGUUUUGUGACGGUACCUGGAGAAGAAGCACCGGCUAACUACGUGCCAGCAGCCGCGGUAAUACGUAGGGUGCAAGCGUUGUCCGGAAUUACUGGGCGUAAAGAGCUCGUAGGUGGUUUGUCACGUCGUCUGUGAAAUUCCACAGCUUAACUGUGGGCGUGCAGGCGAUACGGGCUGACUUGAGUACUGUAGGGGUAACUGGAAUUCCUGGUGUAGCGGUGAAAUGCGCAGAUAUCAGGGGGAACACCGAUGGCGAAGGCAGGUUACUGGGCAGUUACUGACGCUGAGGAGCGAAAGCGUGGGUAGCAAACAGGAUUAGAUACCCUGGUAGUCCAUGCCGUAAACGGUGGGCGCUAGGUGUAGGGGCCUUUUGGGGUUUCUGUGCCGUAGCUAACGCAUUAAGCGCCCCGCCUGGGGAGUACGGCCGCAAGGCUA
RNAcentral lists this ribosomal RNA (531 nucleotides) under uncultured bacterium. Its description in RNAcentral is "bacterial SSU rRNA". It matches the Rfam family "Bacterial small subunit ribosomal RNA", at positions 355 to 896 of the family's 1533-position model. The record is from RNAcentral.